GACCGCGUAGCUCAGUUGGAAGAGCAUUGGGCUAGUAUUCCAAAGGUCGUAGGUUCGAUUCCCACCGUGGUCA
Non-coding RNA from Paramuricea clavata, 73 nucleotides. The record is from the annotation of a GenBank genome assembly. Lineage: Eukaryota; Metazoa; Cnidaria; Anthozoa; Malacalcyonacea; Plexauridae.